AGUGAACGCUGGCGGUAGGCCUAACACAUGCAAGUCGAACGGCAGCACAGUAAGAGCUUGCUCUUACGGGUGGCGAGUGGCGGACGGGUGAGGAAUACAUCGGAAUCUACUUUUUCGUGGGGGAUAACGUAGGGAAACUUACGCUAAUACCGCAUACGACCUACGGGUGAAAGCAGGGGAUCUUCGGACCUUGCGCGAUUGAAUGAGCCGAUGUCGGAUUAGCUAGUUGGCGGGGUAAAGGCCCACCAAGGCGACGAUCCGUAGCUGGUCUGAGAGGAUGAUCAGCCACACUGGAACUGAGACACGUUCCAGACUCCUACGGGGGGCAGCCGUGUGGAAUAUUGGACAAUGCGCGCAAGCCUGAUCCAGCCAUACCGCGUGGGUGAAGAAGGCCUUCGGGUUGUAAAGCCCUUUUGUUGGGAAAGAAAAGCAGCAGGUUAAUACCCCGCUGUUCUGACGGUACCCAAAGAAUAAGCACCGGCUAACUUCGUG
RNAcentral lists this ribosomal RNA (492 nucleotides) under uncultured bacterium. RNAcentral describes it as "partial 16S ribosomal RNA". It matches the Rfam family "Bacterial small subunit ribosomal RNA", at positions 29 to 507 of the family's 1533-position model. The record is from RNAcentral.